This 487-nucleotide ribosomal RNA is filed under the name uncultured bacterium. Its description in RNAcentral is "partial 16S ribosomal RNA". It matches the Rfam family "Bacterial small subunit ribosomal RNA", at positions 28 to 523 of the family's 1533-position model. The record is from RNAcentral.
GACGAACGCUGGCGGCGUGCUUAACACAUGCAAGUCGAACGAUGAAGCCGGAGCUUGCUCUGGUGAAUUAGUGGCGAACGGGUGAGUAACACGUGAGUAACCUGCCCUUGACUCUGGGAUAACUGCGGGAAACUGUAGCUAAUACCGGAUAACAUUUUGAACCGCAUGGUUCGAAAUUGAAAGGCGGCUUCGGCUGUCACUUAUGGAUGGACCCGCGGCGAAUCAGCUAGUUGGUGAGGUAACGGCACACUAAGGCAACGAUGCAUAGCCGACGUGAGAGCGCGACCAGCCACACUGGAACUGAGACACGGUCCAGAGUCCUACGGGAGGCAGCAGUGAGGAAUGUUCCGCAAUGGGCGAAAGCCUGACGGAGCAAUACCGCGUGAAGGAUGACGACCUUCGGGUUGUAAACUCCUUUUAAAUGGGAAGAUUAUGACGGUACCAUUUGAAUAAGCAUCGGCUAACUACGUGCCAGCAGCCGCCGUAA